GGGGGUUUAGCUCAGCGGCAUAAGCGCCUGCCUUGAAAGCAGGCAGUCCUGAGUUCGAUCCCCGGUACCGAUA
Molecule: transfer RNA, 73 nt
Organism: Cavia porcellus (domestic guinea pig)
Lineage: Eukaryota; Metazoa; Chordata; Mammalia; Rodentia; Caviidae
Rfam family: tRNA
About the family: Transfer RNA (tRNA) molecules are approximately 80 nucleotides in length. Their secondary structure includes four short double-helical elements and three loops (D, anti-codon, and T loops). Further hydrogen bonds mediate the characteristic L-shaped molecular structure. tRNAs have two regions of fundamental functional importance: the anti-codon, which is responsible for specific mRNA codon recognition, and the 3' end, to which the tRNAs corresponding amino acid is attached (by aminoacyl-tRNA synthetases). tRNAs cope with the degeneracy of the genetic code in two manners: having more than one tRNA (with a specific anti-codon) for a particular amino acid; and 'wobble' base-pairing, i.e. permitting non-standard base-pairing at the 3rd anti-codon position.
Source: Rfam